AGUCACCAGGUAGUGUUCUGUCCACACACACACCCCCACUGACCCCCAUCUCCAGGCAUCUGCCCUGAUGGCCUCCAGGGCCCCUUCUGUGCCUGCAGAGAUGGCGGCCUGCUCUCUAGGUCAGGCCAGGUUCCCGGGAGCCGAGGUCUGGCUGUUAUUCCAGGAGUGCCCAGCCCCAGAGCUGCCACCUCAGGCCCCUGGAAGUUCUGCAGCCUGAGCUGCCGUCCUCAGACCACUCUGCCUCUGAGCGUGCAAGAGGCUCAGGGCCUUUCCAGGCCUCCCAGAGCCAGGCAGCAGCAGGGAGCCAAGAGCAGCCUGUGGCUCCACUGUGGCAAAGGACAGCCUAUUUAGGCUGAGAGUGGGCCUGAGAGAUCACAAAUCUUUUUUCUUUGCCCAGAACUUUUAAUUUAACCCUGACUUAAAAGGGUGUUCAGGGAGCAUCAUGCUAGAAAUCCCAAAUACGAUGAAAGAAUCCCACAACAGAGGUGAACAGAGGCCUGUUCCCAGGUUCAUCCCGGGAAGGUAGCAAGACAGCGCCCCCUUUGCCCAGCUCAGUGAAGGGCCGGGGCAGCUGAUGUGGCCUGCGCACAGGGUGAGGCAGCAAGGGAUUCUCAUGAGGACAAAUUAGAGCACCUGUCACUAUAGCCAGCACUCAAGAAAUGGGAUUAUCAUCAGAGGGAAAAAUGCACAGCCUCACCAGCUAUUAAACAUAUGGAAAUGAUGACAAUUUAAAGCUUAUAAAUAACAUUAGCGGUGGCUUGGAUUUAUUGUUGUGGCCUCCGGAAGAACUUGGGCACAGUGUAACUUCCUGGGGCCCGAGGUUGUUAAUCGGUGAAUUGUUCAUGAAGGACAGUGCUCACUGUGAAGGUGGGUGUCCUGGGAUGCUCUGCCUGGCCCGCGGGAGACAAGGCUAUGGUCUGACAUCCCUCAGCCUGUCCUCAUUGUCCUGGCUCUGAGAAGAAGCUACAAAACACAGUAGAAGAAAAAGAAAACAGUCUUUUAAAGACUUGUAAUGAGUUGUUAAUGAUAAAAGUAACACAUGCCAACUGGAAAAAUGUGAAUUUUUUAUCUCAGCCAAAAGUAUAAAGAUACUUCGAUUUCUUUAAAAA
Long non-coding RNA from Homo sapiens (human), 1109 nucleotides. The record is from Ensembl. NCBI's taxonomy places the organism in Eukaryota, Metazoa, Chordata, Mammalia, Primates, Hominidae.